RNAcentral lists this ribosomal RNA (385 nucleotides) under uncultured eukaryote. RNAcentral's name for it is "SSU rRNA". It matches the Rfam family "Eukaryotic small subunit ribosomal RNA", at positions 587 to 972 of the family's 1831-position model. The record is from RNAcentral.
AGCUCCAAUAGCGUAUAUUAAAGCUGUUGCAGUUAAAAAAUGCGUAGUUGGAUUUCUGGUAGGAGGGUUUGUUCCAUCACUCUGUGUGGGAACUUGUAUCCUCUCCGGCCAUAAUUGGGUGGAUCUUGUCUGACAUUAAGUUGUCAGUCAGGGGAUACCUAUCAUUUACUGUGAAAAAAAUAGAGUGUUCAAAUCAGUCUUAUGCCAUUAAAUACAUUAGCAUGGAAUAAUAAGAUAGGGCCCUGGUACUAUUUUGUUGGAUUAGGUACCGAGGUAAUGAUUAAUAGGGACAGUUGGGGGUAUUUGUAUUCAGUAUUCAGUGUUGAUAUACUUAGACCUACGGAAGACAAAACUACUGCAAAAGCAUUUAUCAAGGAUGUUUUCA